RNAcentral lists this ribosomal RNA (422 nucleotides) under uncultured bacterium. Its description in RNAcentral is "partial 16S ribosomal RNA". It matches the Rfam family "Bacterial small subunit ribosomal RNA", at positions 359 to 774 of the family's 1533-position model. The record is from RNAcentral.
UAUAUUGGACAAUGUGCGAAAGUCUGAUCCAGCCAUGCCGCGUGUGUGGAGAAGGCCUUCGGCUUGUAAAGCAGUUGAAGCUGGGGGGUAGGGCGGUAAGUUAAUACCUUGCUGUUGUGACUUUACCGACAGAAUACGCACCGUCUAUCUUCGUGCGCUGAGCCGCGGUAAUACGAAGGGUGCACGCGUUAAUCGGAAUUACUGGGCGUAAAGCGGGAGUAGGUGGUUUGUUAAGUUGGAAGUGAAAGGCCCGGGCUCAACCUGGGAACUGCUUUCAAAUCUGGCAGGCUAGAGUAUGGCAGAGGGUGGUGGAAUUUCCUGUGUAGCGGUGAAAUGCGUAGAUAUAGGAAGGAACACCAGUGGCCAAGGCGACCACCUGGGCUAAUACUGACACUGAGGUGCGAAAGCGUGGGGAACAAACA